Molecule: non-coding RNA, 115 nt
Filed under: Lentilactobacillus farraginis
Lineage: Bacteria; Bacillati; Bacillota; Bacilli; Lactobacillales; Lactobacillaceae
Description: Lactobacillus farraginis THF-I sequence
Rfam family: THF (Tetrahydrofolate) riboswitch aptamer
About the family: THF riboswitch presents a pseudoknot that joins P1-P2 and the loop of P3 and two THF binding.
Source: RNAcentral
UAUGGGGUAGGAAGUAAUGCGUCAAGUGCCGAAGGGACGGAAUGUGAACUUCGGACGAAAAUAACUUGGUUUUGGCUUGCCAAAUUGUUGCGGUGUUACUUUCGCAUUCGCCAUU